RNAcentral lists this ribosomal RNA (433 nucleotides) under uncultured bacterium. Its description in RNAcentral is "partial 16S ribosomal RNA". It matches the Rfam family "Bacterial small subunit ribosomal RNA", at positions 29 to 507 of the family's 1533-position model. The record is from RNAcentral.
AACGAACGCUGGCGGCAUGCCUAACACAUGCAAGUCGAACGAGACCUUCGGGUCUAGUGGCGCACGGGUGCGUAACGCGUGGGAACCUGCCCUUAGGUUCGGAAUAACUCCCCGAAAGGGGUGCUAAUACCGGAUAAUGUCUUCGGACCAAAGAUUUAUCGCCUUUGGAUGGGCCCGCGUUGGAUUAGCUAGUUGGUAGGGUAAAAGCAUACUAAGGCGACGAUCCAUAGAUGGUCUGAGAGGAUGAUCAGCCACACUGGGACUGAGACACGGCCCAGACUCCUACGGGAGGCAGCAGUGGGGAAUAUUGGACAAUGGGCGAAAGCCUGAUCCAGCAAUGCCGCGUGAGUGAUGAAGGCCUUAGGGUUGUAAAGCUCUUUUACCCGGGAUGAUAAUGACAGUACCGGGAGAAUAAGCUCCGGCUAACUCCGUG